UUUGCUAGACUUAGAUAAAGC
RNAcentral lists this non-coding RNA (21 nucleotides) under Caenorhabditis elegans. The record is from RNAcentral. Lineage: Eukaryota; Metazoa; Nematoda; Chromadorea; Rhabditida; Rhabditidae.